Long non-coding RNA from Lontra canadensis (Northern American river otter), 141 nucleotides. RefSeq lists it as uncharacterized. The transcript is spliced from 2 exons. The record is from RefSeq and is a predicted model, not a curated record. Lineage: Eukaryota; Metazoa; Chordata; Mammalia; Carnivora; Mustelidae.
AGGUGGCUAUUUUAACAUUUCCCUGUGGAAAAGAAGGACUGAAUUUAACUACAUAAAUUCUUUAGAACAGUCUGGAAUGUCUGUUCAAAUUACUGCACCAGAACAUUUCUGGAAGGUUCUCACCCAAAAAGAAAAAAAAAA